Molecule: ribosomal RNA, 244 nt
Filed under: uncultured bacterium
Lineage: Bacteria
Description: partial 16S ribosomal RNA
Rfam family: Bacterial small subunit ribosomal RNA
Source: RNAcentral
GAUCCUGGCUCAGGAUGAACGCUAGCUACAGGCUUAACACAUGCAAGUCGAGGGGAAACGACAUCGAAAGCUUGCUUUUGAUGGGCGUCGACCGGCGCACGGGUGAGUAACGCGUAUCCAACCUGCCCAUCACUUGGGAAUAACCUUGCGAAAGUAAGACUAAUGCCCAAUGAUAUCCCACGAAGGCAUCCGAAUGGGAUUAAAGAUUUAUCGGUGAUGGAUGGGGAUGCGUUCCAUUAGGUAG